Molecule: long non-coding RNA, 335 nt
Organism: Bufo gargarizans (Asiatic toad)
Lineage: Eukaryota; Metazoa; Chordata; Amphibia; Anura; Bufonidae
Exons: 2
Source: RefSeq, a predicted model, not a curated record
GACACAGUGAAAUCACGUGCCCGCCGAGCGGACGCAUCCUCAUUCAGAGAGAUGGCGUCUGAAGUGGGUAAAGGCUAAAUCCCAUGAACGGGAAGGACCUUCUGACGUCACUGUGGCACGUGACACAGUGAAAUCACGUGCCCGCCGAGCGGACGCAUCCUCAUUCAGAGAGAUGGCGUCUGAAGUGAGCGGAGAGCAGCGCUCCUCAUUGGAGGCAGCAGCCGUGCUCUGAAGCGGAUGUCACCGUGACGGGAGGGACGGAGGACGAGCCUGUCUGCGCAGAGGGUCACCAAAUGUUAUUACAUGUUAGAUAUAUUUUAUGUAAUUAAAUUAUU